AGACGCUUAGUUUAAUAAAAACAUUUGAUUUCGGCUCAAAAGCUUGCGGUUCGAAUCCGCAAUUGUCUA
RNAcentral lists this transfer RNA (69 nucleotides) under Parajulis poecilepterus. RNAcentral's name for it is "tRNA-Arg". It matches the Rfam family "tRNA". From Rfam's summary of the family: Transfer RNA (tRNA) molecules are approximately 80 nucleotides in length. Their secondary structure includes four short double-helical elements and three loops (D, anti-codon, and T loops). The record is from RNAcentral. Lineage: Eukaryota; Metazoa; Chordata; Actinopteri; Labriformes; Labridae.